RNAcentral lists this long non-coding RNA (526 nucleotides) under Homo sapiens (human). RNAcentral describes it as "lncAB332.1". Lineage: Eukaryota; Metazoa; Chordata; Mammalia; Primates; Hominidae. The record is from RNAcentral.
ACACAGGAAUUAGUCUCUGAACCACACAGUUUUUAGGCCUUAACACUGUACAAAAUUUUUGCAUAAUGCAGUUUUUAACAAUACCCAGCUCCAACUCCGUCUACAUCUGUCUUGGCUGAACCGCCCCUUCUGUCCCUCUCUACAGCUUCCUGGAAGCGUCAGGCACGUGCAUGAACAGCUUAACACAGCAGUGUUUUCAAGCAGGUAACAAUACUACUGGAAAAAAAAAUAGGAAGCUUAAAAUGCAGUAGUUUAUUACAUGCCAUCUUCCAUAUUGUCUUCCUCGUGGUCUGAUUUGGUUUCCAUUUUCCCAUCCUCCGAACUAUCGUCCAUGGAGUGAUCUCCAGUCUCUUCUUCAUCUCGUAUCGUUUCGGGAUCCGUAUCCAUACUUUUAUUUUCACUUUCUUCCUCUUCCUCCUCGAACUCCUCGUCGCCAUCCUGUCUGCCCAGCUUCCCGUAGCCAUCCUCGCCUUCUUUCUCGUGCUCCUUCUCGCUCUCGCCAUCCCUCGGCAUACUCUCCCUCUCC